RNAcentral lists this long non-coding RNA (2793 nucleotides) under Phoenix dactylifera (date palm). Its description in RNAcentral is "long non-coding RNA (PDAC_LNC012824)". Lineage: Eukaryota; Viridiplantae; Streptophyta; Magnoliopsida; Arecales; Arecaceae. The record is from RNAcentral.
GAUGAGCCCCACCUUCACUACCCUUCAUGACCAGGCAUUGGGACCCAGUCAACGACAAGCAAGACGAGACUCAAUCGACGCCAAGCCCCCUUUGAUCCUAUAUUUUCAGUCGAGCUGCUUUCCUUUCUUCUCUUUCUCGUUCCCCCGCUACCACCACUAUCACUAGCCUUGGGCCUUCUAACUGUGACCCACCACCACCAAACUCCGCCACCCUUUUUCUCUCCCUCUUUCCCACCCUCGAUUAAACCUCAUGAAGACCCCUUCCCCUCUUUGUUUUCUUCUCUCUCUAUUUCUCUUUUUCUCUCUCUUUCUCUCCCUAGGCCUCUACGUGGACCUCAGUAGAGGCCCCUUUCUCUAUACUCUUUUCUGUGUUGCUCGAUCGAUCAUAGUAAAGGGAUUUGAAUCAAUCUUGCAACCGCCCAUCGUGUCAACCUCCACCCCGGCCUUUGCCAAGCAUCUUUGGACCCAACAAUUAAUAGCUCCUUGUCAUACUAUCUUUGCCCUGAACAAACUCCCAUUUUGUGAUUUGACCACUUAAGAGUUACCUAGAUUACACCGAUCCAGGUUGUUGGACGCCGCCACCUAGCCGGCCUUAUCCAUUCGACAUCUCUUCCUACUAUUUUUCAUCAUUACCCCUAUUCCCUCUGUAGAUCACCUCAAGUUGUUCGUCUUGAUUCUAUGUAGGGGUGCAAUCAUCCAGACAAGAGAAGUCCAACAAGGGUUUUACACUCUAAUCCUUAAAUCGAGGUAAAAUCUUAACCAUUUUAUUUAUUUAAUUUUGAUAAUUGUAUGGGUCAGGGUAAGGUAAGAAAAUCUAGGGUUAGAGGUAGUAGGGGCAUCAAGAUAUAGAAUUAGAAAAUCAGUAAAUAAUUAAUUAAAUUAAUAUUGCAUAUGGUUGGUCAACUUCCAUACAAGCUAAGGAUCAUGUUGUUGUCGGUAAUUAUCAUGUUCGUCUAGAUCCUAGGUGUAUCGAAGACUUUGAGUUUUAUUUUAAAAUUUAUGAUGGCCAAAUCUUGAUAUUAGGUUCUAAAGGAAAUUUUCAAAAUUAGGUGGGUUCGUCUACUAAGUAAGCUCGCAAGGCAAGUAAUGUUCACCUUUCCUAUUUUUUUCAUUUAUUUACUUCAAAUAGAUAUUGAUAUCAAAUAAAUUAUAAAUCGAUUAACAUGCAAUUCAUGAAUUUUAUGAGUUUGUUGAACCUGUGUUUAAAAGGAAAAUAGAAUUGUAAAUCGAGACUAUUAUUUUAUUGCCAAAUAUUAUGCUCAUAGGAGCAUACUUAUAGAUUCUAGCCCAUUUCAUAAGAUACAAGUGCAAUAUUCAGGCCCUCGUUGCAGGGUCUUGGCAUGGUAUUCUAGCCCACUGCACAAGGUAUAAGAGUAGUUCUCUAGCCCAGACACGGUAAAAGUGUAGUCAUAAUCUGAUAGGUUGUUAGAGUUGAAAUAUGAUAUUUUAAAUCAUUCUUUCGAAUACGAAAAUGAAUACUUGAGAAAUUCCAUACAUUCUUCUUGCAUCUUAUUAAAGUAUAACAAUUUUGUAUAUAUGCUUGGUAAAACUUAUUUAACUUACUACUUGAAUUAUCUAACUAAGAUAUUCAUUACUUACUAGGCUGUUGAGCUCAUUGUUUGGUAACUUCUUUAUAGAUCCAGCAAACUAUUGUGGGAGUUCUCGCCAUAGCCAAGAAUUAGUAUUCGUUUUCUUUGAUUUAACAUAUUGGUGAACAUUUAAUGUUAGAUUAUUGUGAACAAAAAUUCUUAAAGUUUCUUGUUAGUUUUGGACUUUUUAAAUCAUUAUUUUUAGAAUUUUAGUUUCUCUGAUUAUAUUCCACUACCUUAUUUAUUCUAUUAUGAUAUCAUGAUGGAUGUAUUGUGAUGCAAGGGACAGGAAGUAGGAGGAUGAUGGUGGAGAAGAUAAUGACAACUUCUCUCUUUUUUUUUCCACUCUUUGGGGCAGAUAUGCUUGGGUAGGGAUGAGCGGAGAGCGUUGUUCAUUUGGGUGAGGAUGUGGCUAGAUUGGGUGUGGCCAAGUGUAGAUUGGGGGUGGCAUAGAUAGGUUGAAUGAGUUGCAAUUAGACUUGAUGUGGCUUGACUAAACUAGAUGAGGCGUGGCUAUAAGAAGAAGAGCACUCAAACUCUCUAAUAUGUGGCGUGAGAAUGGAAAUAGUAAGGAUGUCGUGAGAAUGGAAAUAGUAAGAAUGGAAGGAGUCCUACCUUCACUAGGACUUUCAAAUAAGAUGGCGUGAGAAUGGGUGGAGUCCCACCUUCACUCAAACUCUUAAAUAACUUGGCAUUAGAGCAGGUGAAGGAGUACCACCUUCACUCAACCUCUCUAUUUAACUUGGUGCCUCACCAAGGGAAGAAAGCGUCGCGCUUCAGAAGAAUGUUCCAAUUCUAAACUUUUUUCUCUCUAAAAAUCUCUAUUCUACCGAUUUAUUCAUCAUCACUCCUUUUAUAGUGUAGGAGGUUGGAAACAAACACAAACAACCAGCUCUUAUCCGCUAGAGAUUAGGAGUUUGAGAUAAAUCAAACUCCUUUAUACAAGGACUCGCUAACACUCGAUCUUUGAAUGAGUCAAACAAACAAAGUAAAAUAGAAGGACUCUCAUGUCUCUAGUGGGCUUCACGCAUGCUUUGAAUGGGCUUCAUGCACACCUGAAUUUUUAAAUAAAAGGACAAGCAAACAACUAAACAAAACAAUCAAGGACUCUUCUAGCUACACGGCAGAAAAAAAACUAGACUCAAUGUGGCUUCACCCACGCCCCUGGUUGGCCUCGCGCGCCCAAUUGCCAUCAAUUUCCCCC